Molecule: ribosomal RNA, 675 nt
Filed under: Triticum aestivum (bread wheat)
Lineage: Eukaryota; Viridiplantae; Streptophyta; Magnoliopsida; Poales; Poaceae
Description: partial small subunit ribosomal RNA
Source: RNAcentral
AUGGGGGCGCAGAGAACUCUCCUCGCGAGCUUCCUGCUCGCCGCGUUGGCCACCCAAGCCUUCGUCGCCAUCUCGGCCAGGACCGGCCCGACGGACAAGGCAAGCCAAGAUGACGUGAAGAAGCCGGACUAUACGUCGUCGCUCGACCCGCACAACUUCCCCGGCCACGGGGGCACCACCGUGCCGCUUCCCUCGCACGGAGGCUCCUCCGGCACGCCGCCUUACCACAGAGGCUCCGGCACUACGCCGUCGCACGGCGGCUCCGGCUCGACUCCGUCGCACAGCGGCUCCGGGUCGUUGCCUGACCCGUCGCACGGCGGGUACGGGACGCCGCCUUCGCACGGCGGCUCUGGUUCGUUGCCUGACCAGUCGCACAGCGGAGGAGGUUACGGGUCCACUCCGGACGCGCCAUCCCACGGCGGAGGCGCGUACUGGCGGUGCCUACGGCAGCUCACCCACGCCGUCCCACGACGGGCCUACGGGAGCUCCUCGACGCCGGCCCACGACGGAGGCUCCUACAGGGGAACUCCGGCUGCACCGUCGCACAGCAGCCACGGGUCUGUCACACCGACGCCGCUCAUGCCAGUCGACCCCAACAGCCUCGGGACAUGCGACUAUUGGAGGACGCACCCCAUGCAGACCUGGUCGGCGCUGGGAGCUGGCCGAGCUCGGUGA